Molecule: ribosomal RNA, 445 nt
Filed under: uncultured bacterium
Lineage: Bacteria
Description: bacterial SSU rRNA
Rfam family: Bacterial small subunit ribosomal RNA
Source: RNAcentral
GUAGGGAAUAUUGGGCAAUGGAUGCAAGUCUGACCCAGCCAUGCCGCGUGGAGGAAGAAGGUCCUCUGGAUUGUAAACUCCUUUUUUGGGGGAAGAAUAGUUCUCUUGCGAGGGAAUGUGACGGUACCCUAAGAAUAAGCCACGGCUAACUACGUGCCAGCAGCCGCGGUAAUACGUAGGUGGCAAGCGUUGUCCGGAUUUAUUGGGUUUAACGGGUGCGUAGGUGGUUUGAUAAGUAAGUGGUGAAAGCUGGUUGCUCAACAAUCAAGUUGCCAUUGAUACUGUCGGAAGUGAGAGAAGUGGAGGGUCAUGGAAUGGAUGGUGUAGCGGUGAGAUGCAUAGAUAUCAUCCAGAACGUCGAUUGCGAAGGCAGUGGGCUGUACUUUAUCUGACACUGAGGCACGAAAGUGUGGGGAUCAAACAGGAUUAGAAACCCUGGUAGUCC